AGUGAACGCUGGCGGUAGGCCUAACACAUGCAAGUCGAACGGCAGCACAGUAAGAGCUUGCUCUUACGGGUGGCGAGUGGCGGACGGGUGAGGAAUACAUCGGAAUCUACUUUUUCGUGGGGGAUAACGUAGGGAAACUUACGCUAAUGCCGCAUACGACCUACGGGUGAAAGCAGGGGAUCUUCGGACCUUGCGCGAUUGAAUGAGCCGAUGUCGGAUUAGCUAGUUGGCUGGGUAAAGGCCCACCAAGGCGACGAUCCGUAGCUGGUCUGAGAGGAUGAUCAGCCACACUGGAACUGAGACACGGUCCAGACUCCUACGGGAGGCAGCAGUGGGGAAUAUUGGACAAUGGGCGCAAGCCUGAUCCAGCCAUACCGCGUGGGUGAAGAAGGCCUUCGGGUUGUAAAGCCCUUUUGUUGGGAAAGAAAAGCAGCAGGUUAAUACCCCGAUGUUCUGACGGUACCCAAAGAAUAAGCACCGGCUAACUUCGUG
RNAcentral lists this ribosomal RNA (492 nucleotides) under uncultured bacterium. RNAcentral describes it as "partial 16S ribosomal RNA". It matches the Rfam family "Bacterial small subunit ribosomal RNA", at positions 29 to 507 of the family's 1533-position model. The record is from RNAcentral.